AAGUCGUAACAAGGUUUCCGUAGGUGAACCUGCGGAAGGAUCAUUAAUGAUUGCGAAUGGUUACCUUUGGUGCUGGCUCGUUGCCGAGCAAGUGCACGUUGGUGGCUUUUCAUCCCACUACUACCCGUUGUGAACCUUUGGCCUCUUGCUAGCUUUGGCUGGCAGAGGAUUUUUACACACACAACUCGAAUGUAAUGAAAACGUUUGUCGUGCGCAAAGCACUAAUGUACAA
Molecule: unclassified non-coding RNA, 232 nt
Filed under: plant metagenome
Description: partial contains small subunit ribosomal RNA and internal transcribed spacer 1
Rfam family: Eukaryotic small subunit ribosomal RNA (bases 1-46)
Source: RNAcentral